GACGAACGCUGGCGGCGUGCUUAACACAUGCAAGUCGAACGGAAAGGCCCUGCUUUUGUGGGGUGCUCGAGUGGCGAACGGGUGAGUAACACGUGAGUAACCUGCCCUUGACUUUGGGAUAACUUCAGGAAACUGGGGCUAAUACCGGAUAGGAGCUCCUGCUGCAUGGUGGGGGUUGGAAAGUUUCGGCGGUUGGGGAUGGACUCGCGGCUUAUCAGCUUGUUGGUGGGGUAGUGGCUUACCAAGGCUUUGACGGGUAGCCGGCCUGAGAGGGUGACCGGGCACAUUGGGACUGAGAGACGGCGCAGACUCCUACGGGAGGCAGCAGUGGGGAAUAUUGCACAAUGGGCGGAAGCCUGAGGCAGCAACGUCGCGUGCGGGAUGACGGCCUUCGGGUUGUAAACCGCUUUCGCCUGUGACGAAGCGUGAGUGACGGUAAUGGGUAAAGAAGCACCGGCUAACUACGUG
This 468-nucleotide ribosomal RNA is filed under the name uncultured bacterium. RNAcentral describes it as "partial 16S ribosomal RNA". It matches the Rfam family "Bacterial small subunit ribosomal RNA", at positions 28 to 507 of the family's 1533-position model. The record is from RNAcentral.